AGUGAACGCUGGCGGUAGGCCUAACACAUGCAAGUCGAACGGCAGCACAGUAAGAGCUUGCUCUUACGGGUGGCGAGUGGCGGACGGGUGAGGAAUACAUCGGAAUCUACUUUUUCGUGGGGGAUAACGUAGGGAAACUUACGCUAAUACCGCAUCCGACCUACGGGUGAAAGCAGGGGAUCUUCGGACCUUGCGCGAUUGAAUGAGCCGAUGUCGGAUUAGCUAGUUGGCGGGGUAAAGGCCCACCAAGGCGACGAUCCGUAGCUGGUCUGAGAGGAUGAUCAGCCACACUGGAACUGAGACACGGUCCAGACUCCUACGGGAGGCAGCAGUGGGGAAUAGUGGACAAUGGGCGCAAGCCUGAUCCAGCCAUACCGCGUGGGUGAAGAAGGCCUUCGGGUUGUAAAGCCAUUUUGUUGGGAAAGAAAAGCAGCAGGUUAAUACCCCGCUGUUCUGACGGUACCCAAAGAAUAAGCACCGGCUAACUUCGUG
Molecule: ribosomal RNA, 492 nt
Filed under: uncultured bacterium
Lineage: Bacteria
Description: partial 16S ribosomal RNA
Rfam family: Bacterial small subunit ribosomal RNA
Source: RNAcentral